Molecule: ribosomal RNA, 446 nt
Filed under: Plantago ovata (blond plantain)
Lineage: Eukaryota; Viridiplantae; Streptophyta; Magnoliopsida; Lamiales; Plantaginaceae
Description: eukaryotic LSU rRNA
Rfam family: Eukaryotic large subunit ribosomal RNA (bases 300-446)
Source: RNAcentral
UGUGAAUUGCAGAAUCCCGUGAACCAUCGAGUCUUUGAACGCAAGUUGCGCCCGACGCCUUCGGGCUGAGGGCACGCCUGCCUGGGCGUCACGCAUCGCGUCGCCCCCUCCCAAACCCUUGUGGUUCGGUGAUGGGGCGGACAAUGGCUUCCCGUUAGCUCGGUUAGCCUAAAAAGGAUCCCUCAACGAUGGAUGUCACAACCAGUGGUGGUUGAAAGAUCAUUGGUGCUGUUGUGCUUCACCCUGUCGCUUGCUAGGGCAUCAUCAUAAACCAACGGCGUGAAAUGCGCCUUCGACCGCGACCCCAGGUCAGACGGGACUACCCGCUGAGUUUAAGCAUAUCAAUAAGCGGUGGAGAAGAAACUUACAAGGAUUCCCCUAGUAACGGCGAGCGAACCGGGAAUAGCCCAACUUGAGAAUCGGGCGGCUACGCUGUCCGAAUUGUA